Long non-coding RNA from Ornithodoros turicata, 856 nucleotides. RefSeq lists it as uncharacterized. Lineage: Eukaryota; Metazoa; Arthropoda; Arachnida; Ixodida; Argasidae. The record is from RefSeq and is a predicted model, not a curated record. The transcript has 3 exons.
UGCCAAAGGAAUUGGCGAGUGCGAACACGGGAGGUUCCCCUUGCAACAUUUCUCAACUCCAGCGCACCGGCAUUGCACUGCUUCAGGUUCCCCAUGUUUUCUCUGCGUUUCACCAGCUGUCUGACCGACGACAAUGGUGGACCAGGAAGACAGAAGAGGUCGCCCGACAACAAUAUCAGCAAUAUCAAUAAUCAGAUGCCUACAAUAAAUCGCAUUGCUCGAGCUGCCGGAAACUAGUGCACGGAUAUGAUAAAGUUUGAAAUACGCUACCAUGUCCAACAGAAAUCAACGAAUCGAUGGUUGGAGAGCUUUAAAUAUCUAUGUGAGCAAGUUAGCAAUUUUGAUAAAACAUUUUUGAAGCAUGCAUUUUACAACACAUAGCCACAGUAGCAGCCCCAUUACCUGUAGAUGCCCACAACUACAGCGUGGUCUCGCUCAUAGGGCUCCAAUGUGAUCUGCUCUUGUGGCUUUAACCUCUCAGACUUCAGUUUCUCAACCUCACCAGCAAACACAGCCUCUGGCUCAGCAGUGGAAUCUAUACAGUUGGCCUGUGUAAAAAAAAGAAAGAAAGAAAACAAUAUUAAUACGAGCACAUGAUGUGUAUCCACCCAAACAAUUUGUGAAAUGCAUGCCAAUGGCUGAGCCACUACCUUAAUGGAAAUGACAAAGUGACCUCCAUUCUUCAGGAAGCUGUGUGCAUUGAUCGCUACAAUUCUGGCCUGGUCUGGUUGAGCUACAUCUGCAAAAAUUGUGUCUACCAUGCCUGAAAUGACAAGCGGUGGUAGAUGUUAGGAGAUUCAGUCAAAUAUUCAUGUACACACUAUAUGACAGUAUAAAUAACAUGAUCUCUGCAGGA